AAGUCGUAACAAGGUUUCCGUAGGUGAACCUGCGGAAGGAUCAUUAACACGUAUCCAACGUUAACCCGGUAAAUCAUUGCCAAACAGUUUUGAUUCGGGACCUCUGUCCAAAAGGAGUUGCAAUCGAAGGGUGGAAGCAGUGGCAUGGCUUCCCCAAGCAGUUAGUGAAUGACAGUGUCACUGACUGUGUAAGGAUAACGCCUCACGGUUGCUAGAGGUCGAUCACCGACCGGCAGACAUGUCACAGGGUCACCACGCCCCUUAAUCACUCCACUUGAAAAUGCCCCGCCUAGUGGUAACGCGCUAGGUAAAAAAACCGAACAACUGUUAACAAUGGAUAUCUUGGUUCUC
RNAcentral lists this unclassified non-coding RNA (351 nucleotides) under fungal sp. Its description in RNAcentral is "partial internal transcribed spacer region". The stretch from base 1 to 46 matches the Rfam family "Eukaryotic small subunit ribosomal RNA", at positions 1786 to 1831 of the family's 1831-position model. The record is from RNAcentral. Lineage: Eukaryota; Fungi.